GACGAACGCUGGCGGCGUGCUUAACACAUGCAGGUCGAACGGAAAGGCCCUGCUUUUGUGGGGUGCUCGAGUGGCGAACGGGUGAGUAACACGUGAGUAACCUGCCCUUGACUUUGGGAUAACUUCAGGAAACUGGGGCUAAUACCGGAUAGGAGCUCCUGCUGCAUGGUGGGGGUUGGAAAGUUUCGGCGGUUGGGGAUGGACUCGCGGCUUAUCAGCUUGUUGGUGGGGUAGUGGCUUACCAAGGCUUUGACGGGUAGCCGGCCUGAGAGGGUGACCGGCCACAUUGGGACUGAGAUACGCCCCAGACUCCUACGGGAGGCAGCGGGGGGGAAUAUUGCACAAUGGGCGGAAGCCUGAGGCGGCAACGCCGCGUGCGGAAUGACGGCCUUCGGGUGGUAAACCGCUUUCGCCUGUGACGAAGCGUGAGUGACGGUAAUGGGUAAAGAAGCACCGGCUAACUACGUG
RNAcentral lists this ribosomal RNA (468 nucleotides) under uncultured bacterium. RNAcentral describes it as "partial 16S ribosomal RNA". It matches the Rfam family "Bacterial small subunit ribosomal RNA", at positions 28 to 507 of the family's 1533-position model. The record is from RNAcentral.